CUAAACAAAAAUGCAAAACAAACCCUAAGUCUUUCAAUUUUCCCUGAAUACUCAUCCGCUUCCGAAGCACUAGAAAAAUUCCUUUGUAGGAGUUGAAAGCCCUCAUCCGCUUCACAAAUCUCUCUCCUUUAGUCCUAACUCCUCAGAUUUUCUGAGUUCCUCGGAGUUUCCAAAACAGAAACCAAACACUCCGGAUUCAAAUUGAGAAAAUCUUCUCUUACCACCGUUGCUCCUUCGUGACGAUGACCUCGACGUCCAGUGAAACAUCUUCCAUUCAGUAGGUCGGGCUUUUACACCGUCGUCCCCAAGUUGCCAUUUCGUGUGCUGAUCUAUUUGCUGCUCACGGGACAUAUCAGAAGGUAAAUGUUCUAAACCUGGUUGCUCUAUUUUUUUAUCUCAUUAAUUUUGUUGCAUAUAAUUGAUCUAUUGAUCUCCGAUGUUUCUAUUCUUUUCAAGACCGUGAGUGCAUCACCUUUUACACAAACGUCACCAAAGCCUAUUUCUUUUACAAAAAUAAUUGCUUGUAAACAUGCAUGCACUUCUACUGUUGUUGGGUCUUGGACAUUUUCAAUCGAGUAAACAUAUGAGCCCAUAACCAAUCUUAAGUUAUUCCUUAUAAUUACUACUGCAACAGAUCUGUAUGUCUACUGUUGGUAGGAGGAAUCAAAGUAUACUUUAAUUUGUUCUCCCUGUUAGAGUUGUGACCCAGAUUAUUAUUAAAAUAAAAUACAAGUGACAAAAUAGAGGGAUCCACGAGGAAUAAGGCUGAGGUUUUCUAAACAUAUAAGUAGAUACAAUUUAUACUUCUUGUAAUUAUUUGAAUUUGACAUAGUGAAUUUUCUUCUCCUCUGCUCGUGAUUUUUUUUUCUAAAAGGGUUUUCAUGUAAAAUCUGUGUUCUAUUUUUCUCUCUUUUCUUACCAUUAUCAACAUUAUAUUUUUUUACACUCCUUUUAGAGGUUCCCACUGUAUUUCUCCUAUGUUGUUUCGAUGUACUGUGAUGUCCUCUAACUGUUUUAACACAACUAUGUAUGCCUUAAUGAAACUGAGAACUUCAAAUGCUAUUUCUCUUUUACCUUCAUGAUAUAACUUGUUUUUAUUGUGCCAAAUGGCCCACUAUGCAAUGGCUAUGUUUAUGCUUUGCAAACUUUACAAUUUUUGAAAACAUAUACUAACAAAAAUUUUCAUCCUUGAUUUGUGUUUGUGUGAGAGGAUACCAUUCUUAUCUCCUAAAGCACUUGUUUUGUAAAGGCACAGUCUCAGAAAAGAUGGUCUACUGUUUCGUCUUAGUUUUUGCAGAUCGGGCAAAAGGCCUUCUCCCUUAGCCUUCGAUACUUUAGGUUACUUAACAUAGACAGAAAAUUAUUAGAAACCUUCCAUAGGUGUAUUCUAAUUUUAUUUGGGAUUUUGAGAUUCCAUUGUUUUGUAUAAUAAUUUUUUGUAGCGAUGUCUUGUAAAUUAUUAUCAUUCCUUGUCUCGUCUUGGACGCCUGCAAUGCACCACUUGUACCCGCUUUUGACCAAGUAUUCUGUCGUAUUUUCACCUAUCCAGAUUAAAGCAUUUGAAUAAUAGUUGUUCACUAGUGGGAUGGUUAAAAUCAUCUUGGCUUGCUCAUUCAUGAACAGUAUUUCUACUAACUCCGUUUUUUAGGUAUUAGUCUCGCUAUUAAUGAGGUUUGCAACCUUCGAAUAUCUAAUAUCAAUAUUCUGAAUUUUUACCUUCCCAUUUCCAGGACCUGGAAUCCAUGCAUCGUUCUAUAUAUUCAUUGUCCUGCCAUUCCCAAUUAUCCAGCCAAUACCAUCUUCCAAAAUGCUACAGGUACCAAAACUGCUUCGCUAGGUAAAAGAAAGGUGAGAUCCUAAACCUGCAUUCAUAAACUCACUUAGCUUUCAUUACUCGCGUAAGUAAACUGGUAGAAUUGGUAGUUAGUUUCCAACCCUGCUUCGCUGAAAGGGCUUUAUUGAGAAUUGAUACAUCUCUAAAAUCAAUUUCCCCUUGUGUCUUUGGGGUACACAUAGAACUCCAAUUACUCCAAUGUAUUCUUUUAUUUGUUUUCGAAUUGUACCACCGAAAUUUGCACAUCAAAAUAUCCAAUUCUCGACAUAAAGAAACUGGCAAUAAAAGACUACAUUGUGUAAUUUGGAAUGACCUAUAAAAUGGAUUUGAUAAAAACCUCAUUCCCCCUAUUGAUAGAUUGCGUACUGAUGGGCGUUGAAACCACCAAAUAAAAUUUCAUACCACAAAAUAAUACAAAAUAGUAGUAUAGAGUAGUUGAGUCGAAUGCACAGGGAUUGGUUGUCUAAUUUCACCUUUUCUUAUGAACAGAAUUACUAUCACGGUAAUAGUCGUGCCCACGACUCGUGACAAGCUUGCUGAAAAAAAAAAGAAGUAAAAUAAAUAAUGAGGGAAUGAAAAUGUUUGGGAAGUCAAUAAAAUGUAAUAGCAGCAAAUAAAAAUUAUAUUAAUCGUAAAUAAAAAAAGUAAAUGGAGUUUAACUUCAUAAGCAAUAAUAUAAAGUCUUAGCCUUAAACUAGGUUAAUUUUAGUUCUAAAUCGAUCAUUGAAAAUGAGUUUUCUCCUCCAUAUGAACAGAAUUACUGUCGCAGUAAUAGUCCUACCCACGACUCGUGCUAAGCUUGCUGAAAAAAAAGAAAUAAAAUAAAUAAGGGGGAAUGAAAAUGUUUGAAAAGUAAAUAAAAUGUAAUAGUAGCAAAUAACAAUUAUAUUAAUCGAAAACAAAAUAAGUAAAUAGAGUUGGACUUCGUAAGCAAUAAUAUAAAGUUUUAGCCUUAGACUCGGUUAAUUCUGGUUCUGAAUCGAUCCUUGAAAAUGAGUUUUCUCUUCCACACCAUAAGUUGGUUAUAGAGGCUAAAAACGUCCCAGCCGCUAAUUUUUCCUUUUGUAGUUGAUUCCAAUAUGACCUACAAACCAACCCUUACUGACUAUCUAAUCGCGAUACACGCGUUCGUAAUUCAAGACCCUGACAACUUUGCGUUCUGGAGAACCCAACUCAAAUCAACAGCCUUAACCGCGUGGGUCGUUUAAAUUCGAUCACUUUCUCCCUUGACGAAGAUCCCACUAGUAUGACCCUGCCAAGAUACACUAAUUUGUUCGUGAGAAUGCGAAUAUAGCACGGCUAACUCGACUUCCCAACUAUACGCCAAAAAACUCCUACCCAACAUACACUUUUUGAAUUGAAACUGAAUUGACUUUAAGGGAUGAAUUUGUACUAUCUCAUAUUCCGGAGAGAUGGUGAAUAUUGUUAUGAAAGAUUUUUAAUGCAGAUUCAUUUCUCAUGAUUCUUGACUAGAAAGAAUACUAGCCUAAAGAUAAGUAGAAGUUUAGUGAAGCAUGAAAUUAAUCAUGCUUUGUUGGUAUAUGUAAUUGGUUUUAACGGAAAUAGUAGAAAGUGGAAAAAGGAAGGGACUUAUAAGGCAAUUAAACAAAAUUUGUAAAAGGAAAGUAAUAUGAAACGAAAUGGUUACAAACGCAUGAAAGAAAUAAACUGCUCUGUAUUUCUAGUGUAGUCAAGUGUGUUCUUCAAAGGCCACCACACACCCUAUUUACCCAUAUCUGUCGCCAGAUUAGGGUUAUAGAGUGUUAUCGUACAAUCAAAGACAUUUAACAUCAUAAUAUUUAAAUACACUAAAAAAUCAUAAUCCAAUCAAACACAUACAUUAUAUUCCUAAACCAAGCCCUCGAGGCCAUAAAAAUAGCUUAGGAGCAAUUCAGGACUAAUUUGAAAAAAAACUAAAAGUUUAGGAAAAACAUACAAAAAUUUCAAAACAGGGGUUACAUGGCCGUGUGGCCAGGUCGUGUGCCUCACACGUCCAUGUCCCCAGCCAUGUAACUUUCGAACUAGGGACACGACUGUGUCUAAGCCCGUAUCCUCACCCGUAUAACUCAUUGAGUAGGGUCACACGGCCGCGUCACACGCCGAUGUGCCAGGCCGUGUGUUAGGUCGUGUAACUCACUGAGUUGUACCCUUUGAAAUCCUCAGAUGACACACGGCCGUGUCGUCAGGUCGUGUGCCUCAUACGACUGAGUCAGACGCUUGUGUCUCAGCCCAUGUGGACCAAAAAAUUUACCUAAAGUCAAGCUAAUUCAACCCAUUUCAUGCAUAACCUUUCAACCCAUUUAAGCACACUUUUAAUGGACCUAAACAUCACCCUAACAUACAUCAAAAUGCCAUUUCAAUAUCCUAAUUCAACUAACCAAUAUGUCAUUCAAAGACACCAUAAUUAUAUCAAAACAACAUAUACCAAAACAUGUUAACAUUACCUAAUUCCAUGCAUAAAGACCUCAUUCUAUACUAUGCCUACAACACAUCAUAAAUGACCAUUUUCAAGCCAACAUCUUGUACCAAAAUGCCAUACACAUCUAUUAUCAAAAAGUGACCUAAAAGGACUUACCUAACAAGCAUUAUAAGUUUAUCAACCAUACAUUAACAUCAGAGCAUAACAUACCAAAUUUACCAUUUACAUAUUCACCAAAACAUCAUUAUACUAAAGACUUCUCCUAUUAUAUGUCACUUUAACCAACUUCAAACAAGUAUAAAAUGACUACCAAGGUGUAGAUGAUAGUGUGUGAGCUUUCAAGUUGAUCCAAUCGAUGCAAAAAUUCCAAGAGUCCUACAAGAUCAAAUCAAAUGAAUAAGCACGAAGAAGCUUAGUAAGUUCGAUAAGUAAACUCAUUUGCUAUCAAAUACCGAAUUUCUAAAGGAAAUUAACCUUUAUUACAUCGGCAAUAAACCUGCUAGGCACUAAGCCUGAAUAACAGUACAGUUCAACACUUAAACAUCAUUACAUAACAGAAUUUAAAAAUUAAAUCACUAACAAGGAGUUUAAUUCAACUAUACAUAAACAUAAAACGAACUUACAUGACUAGUUUGCAGUAAUUGCAAAAGCACAUGAACUACUCCGAAGUCUUUCAUUUUCCACGAUCGUAAACAUGCUCGUGAUCUAAAAUAAUAGUUUCAUUCAAUUAAUUACUUCUAAAAUUCAAUUUAAUCCAUAAUUCAUUUUAUGUAAAAUUACGAAAUUACCUCUAACAUUUUAAUUUUUCACAAUUUAGUCCUUAAACUCAUAACUUGAAAUUUAACUAUUUCAAAAAAAAUCCAAAUUAACCAAUGUUAGAAAGAACCUUGAAAUAAUCCAUAUUCACCAUCAUUUCACUUCAAAACCAAUAGCUUUACACCUUUUACAAUUUAAUCUCUAAUUCUACAAUUCAUCAAAAAUCACUUAACAAAACUUGUUUAUUUUUCAACAAGGAAUUAUAAUAUAUCAACUAGCAUCAAAACUUACUAAAAAGAAAUUCAUGGAAAGUCCCUCAACUUUUUACACUUUUGCAAAUUAACCCUCGGGCUAGCUAGACUAAGCUAAAACGAUCUCAAAAAUAUAAAAAUUAUUAAAAAAACGAAACAAUUAUACAUACCAUGCACAAGGACAAGGCUAGUCAAUUGCUCCAAGCUCCUUUAAUGGUGUUUUUAAGUUUUUGAAUGGAAGAAUGAGAAAGAUGAUACUUGUUUCAUCUUUUCUUUAUUAAAUUUUCAUUUAAUUAUUAAAUUACCAUAUUAACCUUUAAAAACUAACAAAAUUUCAUUAAAAUCUUGCCCAUGCACAUCCACUAACACAUUCAAUAGUAUAUUUACAACUCAAGUCCUUUAGUUUAAGGUUUCAUAGCCAUUUAACCCAUUUAGCUAAUAGAACUCAACUUUUAGACUUUUUACGAUUUAGUCCUUUUUACUUGAUUAAUCAGACAAACAUCAAAAUUUCUUAAUGAAAUUUUAAUAUGACCCUAAUAUAAUCUCGUAGACGCUAAAUAAAUAAUGAAAUAAUAAAUCACUUGUUAGAAUUGUGGUCUCAAAACCACUGUUUCUGACACCAUUGAAAAACAGACUAUUACAAUAUACAUAUCAUAUACUAAAAUUAACCUAACUCACCUAACAACUAAUUACAUGAAAUUACAUUCAUAUCAGAUUUUUUUCUAAAUAUUUCUUUUACAAAGUUAAAAAUCAUAUUAGCCCUUAAAUGUCUCCAAAUUUCGGAUUCGCCCCCCUCUUUUAUUGCUUGUGUUCCAAUUUAGUCCUUUUCUGCUUGUUUUUGAAUUAAAGCAUACGAAUUUUGUUCCUGAUAGAAUUUAAAUAUGAAAUCGCCAAUUUAGCAGGAAUUAAUUUAAGAAUUAAUUGAUUUGAACACAUCAAAUAUGCAAAAUAAACAUGCUACCAUGUACACUCCAUGUUUUUAUUCUUUUAAUGAACUUUUCUUUUAAAUUGUCAGACAUGUUCUUCUUUCUUCUUCUACCAUCGUUGGUAAACCAAGACAUUUCUCUAGAUUAUUAGAGAUUCGAACUCCCAAUUCACUUCCUAUUCGCGCUUUGUCUUCCUCCAUUGUAUUUUUGCUAAAAUAAAUAAAAGAUUUCUUGAAAUUCACCAUUUGUCCAGACAUGUUUUCGUCGUCCUUAACCACUUCUUUCAUUGCCAAAGCCCCUUCUAUUGUUGCCUUCCCAAAAAGGAUGCUUUCAUCUACAAAAAAUAAUGGUGUUAGCGAUAACCCUCCUCUCCCUACCUUUAGUCCUUCAAUCUUUCUGUUGGAAAAACCGGUUUUGGAAAACGAAUCAGAAAAUAAAUUUAGGGAAAAUAGAGUUAAAAUUUUUUUCAAAACAAGAUCUUAGUUGUGAUAUCUAAAGUAAUAAACACUUAAUCAAAAUUGUACCUUUUCGAUUUGUUUAGGAUAAACGCUUCGACCGAGUAGUCUUUUCCAUUAUCCUCAAGCUCACGUCUGUCAAGUGCGGGCUCGCUUCGAAUAAGAAAAUUUUUCACAAAAAUUACUAGUGGGGUAAUUUUGCAAUUUCUCUAAACUUUUAAGUCAAAUUGUAAAUCAGAAAAAUAUCUCUUGAAUUCAAGUGUGUCUAAAAUAAUGACCCAAAGCUCUUUUUAUAUAAGGAGAGUUUAAAGAGUUCAACUAUGAUUAAUAUUAGAUUAAAUUUAAUAUUAAAUCUUAUUAAAAUAAUAGAAUGUUAAUCUUGUAUACAUUAAUAUUAUUAAGAUAAGUAUUAAAUUAAAUUUAUUAUUAAACUAUUAAAAUAAUAUUAUUUUUGGAAUAGUUAAUUUGAAAUCAAAUUCUCUGGUAGAGUCCCCGUAGGAGUGUAACUCUUCUACUGCACAACCACCGAAGGCCAACCAUUGUUGGCCACCGAAACAUCGCCGUUGUAGUCACCGACAUCGUUGUGUCUGGUGAUGCAGGUGCGACACCUUUAUGACACCUCGAGCCGGUUCAGUUACUACUAGUUCGGUCAAAGUCAGUGACGACCUAACCAAUCCGGUCUUGCCACCGGUUAGACCAUCGGCCCAGUUUCAUGUAUAGGUCCCAGUUCGACCAAAUUUUGGGUCUUGGUCUCGAUUUUGGGCUCCUGAGCCUAAUUUUCAAUCUCAAGUCCAAUUUUCAAAUUCAAUUACCUAUUAGGUCAAUUGUCAGACUUGAAAAUUAAUUUCUAAAAAUAUGAUAUUAAUUUUAAUUAAUUUGAUUAGUUUAAUUUUAUUUAAUCAAAAUUAAUUUUUUCAAAAAUCACUUAGAUUUUCUAAAUUUUCAAGAAAAUUCUUUAACCAAAUUAUCUAAUUGAACAAUUCUCACGACUACCUAAUUUAAUUCCACAUUGAAAAAAUCGACUCAAUUAAAUUAUUUCCAAAGUAAUAGAAUUUUCUUUUGAUUUAAAUGCAGUCCAAUCGAGCUUCUCUUGAGCUAGCGGAGGGACCAAUCAAACAUAUACAAUUAGGCUCUAGUAAUUGCAAUUACUAGAGCGUAAUUGUAUAUGUUUAGAAACACCGUUCUGAAAAAUCGCAAUUACUUAAUUAUGAAGUCAGUCCACAAGAAGUACCAUGAUUAAAAACUCCUUACUGUAUACUCUUUACGAAAGUAAUUCAUCCAAUUACUUUGUUCAAUGGCUCGUUAUGUACGUGUUACCCUCAUAUGAUAUCUUUGAUUCCUUUGAGUUAAAUCCAUUCACUCAAAAUAAUCUUGUUUUAUCUCAUUGUCACCAUUGUGUCUUCUUAAUGAUUAAUAUGAUCCCUGUCAACAAACGAUUAUGAUAAAUCGCUUGUUCGAGAACAAGCAAACCGUGGCCACGUUUCGUAUUUAUCAAUGCAUACAAUGCCAAUGAGAGGAUAUCAUUAACUCUUUAAUUGAGCUAUGAAUAACUCUUUAAUUGAACUAUGAAUUCCACUAUUUCUAGUAAAGCCAUGCCAUACACAAGUUAUGUACCCAACAUACCGACUAUGGGCUUGAUCAUCUUUAGAGCAUAAGCCUCCACUUAUAUCAAAGCGCAUGAGUUGCAAACGUAUGAUUAGUGACUAACUCAGGAUUUAGGUAAAUCACACUAUGAACGUUACAAGUGAAUUAAUUCACAAACGAAUUCAAAAUUAAUUCAUUUUGGGUCCAGUUUAAUGUAUCAUUCUACCAAUGAAUAUAUCUAUGUCUCUACCCGUGGAGUCAACUUCUUCGAUAAAUAAGGCUAGCCAUCUCCCUAAUUGGAAUUGUAGACGACAUAAUAAUAUUUUCUCAGUAUUUGAAUCAAAUAUUCACUUUGAUUCUUUUACGGGAUUAUAGACCUAUUUAGAUUAUCUACUGAAGUAAGUUGUCUUUCUCGCAAUGUAAACGUACUUAUAAUGCCACAUAUCUUCAGUUUGAACUUAGACAAUCAAUGAGCUAAUAUUUGCUUGUCACAGUUUAACUAUGCAUGCAAAAUAUAAAAGAAAAAAAAUACAAAAGACAUAAUAGUGAAAUGUGAAAUUAACUUUAUUAAUUUAUUUAUCAUUCAAAUAAAUAGAAAAUAGUUACAUGAAUACUACAAUAUGGGCACAUUUCCCAACAAUCUCCCACUUGCCCUAGUGAAGUAAAUGUGUCAUGUUUUGUAUUCCAAUAUCCUCGAUGUGUUUGUCAAAACUCCUAGUUACAAGAGUCUUAGUAAAUAGAUCCGCAAGGUUAUCUUCAGAAGCUACUUUCAUCACAUCUACAAUUCCUUCAGCUACUGCUUCUUGUAUCAAGUGAUACUUCCGAUCAAUGUGUUUCGUCCUCUUGUGACUUCACAUUUUCUUAGUAUUAGCUAUUGCAGCACUUUUAUCACACUAUAGUGUUAUAGCUUUUUCUAUACCAGGAAUGACUUCAAGAUCGGUUAAGAACAUUCGAAGCCAUAUUGCUUCUUUCGUUGCCUUAUAAGCAGCCACAUGCUCGACCUUCAUAGUAGAGUCAGCAGUUCAAAUUUAUUUUACACUUCUCCAUACCAUGGCUCCAUAACCUAGAACAAAUACAUUUCCCGAUGUUGAUUUCCUUAGAUCUUUACAAGUUUGGAAGUCUGAGUCUGUGUAUCCAACAAGAGUAAGGUUCUCCCUAAAAUACGCAAGUAUAUAAUCCCUGGUUCUUUUAAGAUACCUUAAUAUAUGCUUUACAGCUUGCCAAUGCCUGAGACCUGGAUUCGCCUGAUAUCGACUAACCAUUCCUACUGCAAAAUAGAUAUAUGGACGUAUGCAAAGCAUGGCAUACAUAAGGCUUCCAACUGCCGUAGCAUAUGGAACCUUACUCAUAUGCUCUUUUUCUUUCGCUAUUUUAGGAUAGUCAUCUAAAGAAAGAUGAAGACCUGAUGCAGUUGUUUAAACGACUGGCUUCAUAUCGGUCAUUACAAAACGUUCUAGUACCUUAUCGAUGUACGAAGCUUGAGAUAGAGAUAUUGUUUUAUUCUUUUGAUCCAUAAAGAUUCGAAUUCCAAGAAUAUAAUAGCUUCACCCAAGUCCUUCAUGCUAAACUAUUGAGCUAACCACAGUUUAACCGAUGACAAUUCUCUUACAUCGUUUACGAUAAGUAGAAUAUCAUCGACAUAGAAAAUAAGAAAUACCACUUUUUUGUCCUUUAUACGCUUAUAAACACAAGGUUCAUCAGUGUUUUGCUCAAAUCUAAAAGUCCUGAUCGUUUGAUCAAAUCUUAUAUUCCAUGAGUGGGACGGCUACUUAAGUCCAUAAAUGGAUUGUAGCAGUUUGCAAACUUUCUGCUCAUUUCCUUUGAUAACAUAGCCAGUGGGUUGAGCCACGUAAAUCGUUUCAUCAAGACAGUCAUUCAAGAAUUUUGUCUUGGCAUCCAUUUGCUAGUUCUCGUAAUCGAGAGUAGUGACAAUGGUUACAAGUAUGCAGAUAGACUUGAGCAUGGCUACUAGAGAGAAGGUCUCAUUGUAAUCGAUGCCUUCUUUCAGUUUAUAGUCUUUCCCUACAAGUCUAGCUUUGUGUGUUUCCACUUUUCCUUCCGCAUUUCUCUUCUUGUAGUUCCACAUGACAAAGUUUACCCUGAGGUGUAGCCAGGGUAGGAACUGGCUCAAAACUUUAUCAUGCUAUCACUUAGAGACCAUCAAUAGGGGCCAUAGAUCUUGUUCAAAGACCUUUCCCCACUCAAUAUUUUAAAAACAUGCAAGGGUUUUUUUAUCCCAAAUUUCAAGAAUGAUCAUACAAUAUUUCUAGUGGCAUCUUUACCUAAUCUAAAUGACAUGCUUUCAAUAUAUGCAUGGCAUGCUAUGACAAUUUUAUAAUCUUCACAUUCAUUCACAAGAAUCAAUCAAUCAUAAAAAUAAACAAUUUUGAUUCUGCACAGUUUUUAUUCGUAAGGGAAAAAUUGAAGAAGUGAAUGUGAAGCAUGCACUAGGUUGGGUCCCAGGAAAGGGAGGUGAGUCAAAUUUGACCGCUUAAAAACCAAGCCUUUCCUAGCCAGAGCCAAUCCUAGACAUGCACCUUCUCAUUAGCACACUUCUUAUUUUUUAAUCAAUCAACUGUAGAUCAUCUCAUAUAUAUAUCACAAUUAUAAUAUUACAUAAUAUAAAUAUUAUAAAUAAUUAUAAAAUAAAUAUAAUGAGAUAGGUAAUUAAAAUAAAAUUGCCACCAAGGUUUUUAUGGUUCUAUUUCUAGAAAAUAAAAUUACAUAAUUUUUCACCACAAGGCAUUCCUUGGGUCUUCAACCGCUAUCGCAUCUUUUUCUUGCCUUGGACUUCUUUUGGAAAAAAUAGCCUUAUGUGGAUAUGAUAGUCCACGGUCUAUUUCCUAAGAACCGCAACCUUGACAAUAAAAAACAAAUAUAUAACAAUUAUAUAAUAUCGCAUCCAUUCCCAUAAAUAACUCAAAACAUGCAUAAAAUCUAAAGAAUGCCACUUUCUAUGUAAUCAAAUCAUUUAAGAAUAAGAGAAAUUUAUUUUGAUUAUCUGUUUAUACUUAUAGAUAGAAAAAAACCUGUCUUAUGAUAGUAAUUGUUGGAAAAAGCUGGUUUGGAAAACUUAGUAGAAAAUAAAUUUAGGGAAAAUAAUGUUUUAAAAUUAUACAUCAAAUCAUUUAAGAGCUUGGUUGUGAUAUCUAAAGUAAUAAACACUUUAUCAAAAUUAUACAUUUUUUAUUCAUCUAGGAUGAGCACUUCGACCGAGCAAUCUUCUCCGCUAUAUUUAAGCUCACAUCUACCAAGUGUGGACUUGCUUCAAAUAAGAAAAUUUUUCACAAAAAUUGUCACUGGGGUAAUUUUGCAAUUUCUCUAAACUUUUAGGUCAAGUUGUAAAUCAAAAAAUAUCUUUUAAAUUUUUUUGAAAUAAUCUCUUUAGAGAAUUUUCUCUUUGCAAAAUUCUUUUAAAUUCAAGUGUGUGUAAAAUAAUAAACCAAUGCUCUCUUUAUAUGGGGAGAGUUUAGAGAGUUGAACCAUAAUUAAACUUAAUCACUUUAAUAUUAAAUUAAUAUAAUAUUUAUCAAGAUAAAUAUUAGAUUAAAUUUAAUAUUAAAUAUUAUUAAAAUGAUAAAAUGUUUAUCUACAAGAUAACCAUUAAAUUAAAUGAAAUAUUAAGAUAAUCACUUUAAUAUUAAAUUAAUAAAAUACUAUUAAGAUAAGUGAUAACUCUUGAAAAGAGUUAUAAUUCAUGCCUUUAGACUGGGUCAAUUGUCUAUACUUAAGUGAAUUUAGUUAUUUUAGCAUUUUUAGAACGUUGCAUAAGGAGCUUGGACGGUGCUUAAAUAUUAUUUUUUGGUACUUUUAAUUGCAUGUGGAAGAGCUAUGUUUGGUGGUUUGGCAAGUGUAGGAUGUGGAGAAAGAAAUAAACGAGUGAAGGUUUACAGGGGCAAAAGGUUGGACAGUUUGCCAACUUGUAUGCCGUGGCAAUUCUAGGAAGAUAACCGAGUCAACACUCAAUGCAUACCAGUCUCGUCCCAACUCUACUUGUACCAGAAAAAUUAGCCUAAAAAAGAGGAAAAAAUAUCAUGAGAUCAUGGGCUGAUAACACUUGCCCUAAAGGAAGGGAUUUUAAACCAAAAAGAAAAUCUAAAAAAUAGAAGAUAUAUUGAGUUGUUGGAUUUACCUUAGUGAAAAAGCCUAUAAAAAGCCAAAUGAGGAAACCCAAAAAGACGGACAAAUGUGGAUAUCGAUAGGCGAACUAGAGGGUAGUGGCUGAGUAGAGAAGGAAAGAGGACGACGAAGGCAAUCCCUCUCAGCCAUCACAGGAUACUUUGCCGUUGGAGUGUGAAUUGGACAUUGAAAAGCUGUCUUCUCGACGUUCUUCUGUUAUUUCUUAAUCUAUUCCUCUAUGAAUUAAUUUGAUUGAAACGACGUUGAAUGAUAUUUUGGUUUUGAAUUUUAUUUGCCAACCCAUGAGCUAAAUCUCAUACGUUUCGGAUUACUUGAUGAAACCUUUAUUUUCUUUAAUGGUUGAAGCAUAGAUCUGAAUUAAUUUACUGUUUCAUUCAAUUUUUUUAUUUUUAAAUUGUAUGCAUGCAAUCCUUAAACAUAGACGACUGUGCAACAUGCCCAUAAACUAAUUUAAUUCUAAAAAGGUUGGAUUAGUUUGACCAAAAUUGAAUGAUAUGAGCAAGUAUUCGACAGAUAAUUGUAGUAGACUCUAGACAUAGAGCAGCGUUCAUACAGAAGAAGAUAGUGUUGGGUACCGUAUUAAAGGCCUAUAGACACGGGUAAGGUAACUUGAGGUUUCUGCUUUCGGAAGAAGUAGACCAUUUAAAAACUCUUCUGAGCAGUAGAUUGAUUACAAUUUUGCCGAGGCAUUAUUAGCAUAUAAUCAAUAUCGUAUAUCCCUUAUCCCCUGCCGUAGUAUCUUUGCCAUCGCAUCUUUAGUUUUUUUACUUGUUCAGUUACAUAUUAUUCAUAUAAUUAUUUUCUUAAUUGCCAUUGCAUUUUUACUCUUGCAUUGCCAUAGCAUUUUGAAUUAUUCAUCAGUUACACAUAUUGGUCACAUUAAUAUUCUUUUUGUUUACCACUCCAUUCUUAUCAUUAUUUUGCUAUAACACUAAUCUAACUUUAUUAUAAUAACUUGACCAUUUGUAUACCUAAUCCGAUCCCUGUGGAGAUGAUCUCACUUAUCACUUUAUUACUUGAUUCAAAAUGUAUACUUGCACAAUUCGUAUAUCAUGUUCACACGCGACAAUAAGUAUUAAAUUUAAUUUAAUAUUAAACUAUUAAAAUAAUAUUAUUUUUAGAAUAGUUAAUCUGAAAUCAAAUUCUCUGGUAGAGUUCUAAUAGGAGUGUAAAUCUUCCACUGCUCAACCACUGAAGACCAAUCACCACCGACCAUUGAAACACUGCCAUUACAAUUGCCAGCACCGUCGUGUCCGGUGAUGCAGGUGCAACACCUUUACAACACUCCAACCCAAUUCAAUUACUGUCAGUUUGGUCUGGGUCAGUGAUGACCCAACCGGGCAAAUCUAGCCACUGAUUGGACAAUCGGCCCAGUUUCACAUGUUGGACUCGAUUCGACUAAUUUUUGGGUUUUAGUCUCAGUUUUGGGUUCCUUAGCCCAAUUUACGUUCUCAGUUGUCUAACUUGAAAAUUACUUUCCAAAAAUAUCAUAUUAAUUUGAUUAAUUUAAUUUUACUUGAUCAAAAUUAAUUUUCCCAAAAAUUACUUAGAUUUUCCAAAUUAAUUUUUCAAGAAAAUUUUUUAAUCAAAUUCUCUAACUGAACAAUUCUCACGACCACCUAAUUUAAUUCCAAACUGAACAAAUCGACUCAAUUAAAUUAUUCCCAAAGUCGUAGAGUUUUCUUUUGAUUCAAAUACAGUCCGAUUGAACUUUUGUUGAGCUAGCGGAGGGGCCAAUCGGACACAUACAAUUAGGCUCUAGUAAUUGCAAUUAUGUCUAGAAGCAUCGUUCUGAUAAAUCGCAAUUACUUAAUCAUGGAGUCAGUCCACAAGAAGUAUCAUGAUAAAAAAAAUUUCUUAUUGUAUACUCUUUACGAAAAUAAUUCAUCCAAGUGCUUUGGCCAAUGACAUUGUCAUGUGUGUAAUACCAUCAUAUGAUAUCCUUGAUUCCUUUGAGUUAAAUCCAUUCACUCAAUACAAUCUUAAUUUAUCUCAUUGUCACCAUUGAGUCUUCUUAAUGAUUAAUAUGAUCGUUGUAAACAUAUUAUUAUGAUAAAUUGCUUGUUUGAGAACAAGCAACCCGUUACCACAUUUCAUAUUUAUCAAUCCACACAAUGCCUAUGAGAGGAUAUCAUUAACUCUUUAAUUGAGCUAUUAAUUCCACUAUUUCUAGUAAAGCCAUGCCAUACACAAGUCAUGUACCCAACAUACUGGCUAUGGGCUCGAUCAUCUUUAUAAUAGAAGUCUCCACUUAUAUCAAAGCACAUAAGUUGCAUACGCAUGAUCAGUGAAUAACUCAGGAUUUAGAUAAAUCACACCAUGAACGUCACAAGUGAAUUAAUUCACAAACGGAUUCAAAAUUAAUUCAUCUUGGGUCCAGUCCAAUGUAUCAUUCUACCAAUGAAUACAUCUAUGUCUCUACCCGUGGAAUUAACUACUUCGAUAGCCAAGACUAGCCAUCUCCUCAAUUGGAAUUGUAGGCGACAUAAUAAUCUUUCUCAGUAUUUGAAUCAAAUGUUCACUUUGAUUCUUUUACAGGAUCAUGGACUCAUUUAGAUUAUCUACUGAAGUAAGUUAUCUUUCUCGUAAUGUAAACUUUCUUACAAUGCUACUCAUCUUUAGUUUGAACUUAAACAUCCAAUGAGCUAAUAUUUUCUUAUCACAAUUUUACUAUGCAUGCAAAAUAUAAAAGACAAAAAUACAAAAAAACAUAAUAGUGAAAUGUGAAAUUAAAUUUAUUUAUUUAUUCAUCGUUCAAAUAAAUAGAAAAUAGUUACAUCUUUACUACGAUAUGAGCACAUUUCCCAACAUUUUCCUUCCCUUUUUACAGGUUUUAGUAAUCUUGAGAAGCCAUCUGCGCAGAUAAUGAACAAGUAUGAACUUAAUGGGUCUCCUUGCCUCAAUCAUCUUGUGGGUUUAAAACUUACCCCUUGUCCCCUAUUAAGCACUAAAAAUAGGAUAUGCUUUUUAUAUCUCAUUAUCAAUGAUACCCAUCCUUCAAAAAAGCCAAGACUUUUCAUUAUUUUCUCCAUAAAUCUCAUUCUACUCUAUCAUAGACUUUACUCAUGUUCAAUUUCAACGCAAAAUUCGUUUGCCUGUGCCUUCUCUUCUGGAACAAAUGUAAUAAUUCAUAAGCCACCAAGAUGUUGUCAGUAAUUUGUCUCCCCAGCACGAAUGCUCCUUGUGUCUCUUCGAUACAGUCAUUAAGAGCCUUUCUAAAUCUGUUGAAAAUUGCCUUUGAAAUAAUCUUGUAAACUACAUUGCACAUAUUGAUUGGUCUAAAUUGCCCCAUUUAUUCUGGUAGUUGAACUUUAAGGAUCAAGACAAUGUUGGUUUUGUUUGUUUCUCUUAUUUCUUUAUGAUUGUUUAACACUUCUAAGCAAAAUUUAAUAACGUCUUUCCCUACAAUGUGCAAAAAAUUCUAAUAAAAGAAAGCAGGAAAUCCAUCCUUACCUACGACUUUUAGUGGCGCCAUUGAUUUCAUUGCUUUAGUUACUUAUUCUUCUUUGAAACUGUUUAAUAAUUCACCGAUGAUAUUGUUGGUUACACAAGCUUGAAUGUAGUUCAUAAGCAUCUCACAACUAUGUACGGGUUUUGACAAAAAAAUAUCUUUGAAAUAGUUUGUAGCCAACUUGAUUAAUUUCGUGUCUCCCUCAAUCCAUUUUCUAAUCGUGUCUUUGAGUCCUUUAACUGUAUUUCUUUUUAUUUUUUCUUUUUUUUGAGAUAUGACACAAACUUUGGAAAAAAAGAAGUAUUACAACCCCCAUAAGAAGCCAAUUUACUCUUGCUUGUUACUCCCAAAAAAUUUUCUCAUUGUCAAAUUCCAUAUUUAGCAUCAAUUUAACAUCUGUAAUUUUUUAUCUUGAAUUCAGCUCCUCCCUUUUUUGCUUACGUAUUCCUUUAUUAAUUUUAUCCCAUUCCAUUAAAAAUGUUGUCAAGUCCUUGAGUUUUUCUGGUAGCUCCUUUUCAUCCAAAGACCAUCCUUGUUUUAUCCUAUCCUCAAAAUCCUUAUCAAGGAUCCAAUCAACUUUAAAUCAAAAUGGAAACCGUCCCUUUGUUGAACUCCCCUUCCUUCUUCCUAUAGUGUCCAUUAACAUUGGGCAAUGGUUUGAUAUACUAUGAUUUAAGUGAGAUACUACAUAUUUUUGGAAACAUACCCACCAUUUUGAAUUUCCCACCCCUCUAUCAAUUCUUUCUCUUAUAUUGUUGACUGCUAGCCUCCCUCUUUCCCAAGUACACCAUUGUCCUUGGAACUCCAAAUCACUUAAGUCACAUUCCUCUAAAACAUCUCUAAAGGCUGCCGUUUGACGUUCUUCUCCUAAACACCCUCCUCUAUUUUCAAAAGAGACCACUUCAUUAAAAUCAUCGAUGACAAGCCAUGGUAAACGAUUAUCUGCCUAUAACUGCUUUAUUAAAUUUCAUAAAUCUUUCCUCAAACGCUCAACUGUAGAUCCAUAAAACUUGGUGAACCUCUAACAUGCUUCACAUUUUCUUCUUGAAUUUCGAUGUCUAUAUGAGAACUUGAGAAACUCAUGAGACUUAUUGAUAGGUUUUCUUUCCAUCCUAGCUAUAGACCCCCCAUUUGAACCAUCUACAUUGAUUUUUAUCCUGUUUGCAAAACCACAUGACCUUGUUAUCUUUUCUAUUUUUCUUGAACUGACUUUUGUUUCCAACUAUGCCCUGUCUUGCAAAACAAUUUUUGAGACACCUUAUCGUCCGUGAUAGCCUCAGCCCAUAGGCAUUCCAACUUAGAGUUUUCAUUGUAAUCGGUCGGCCUGCUCAUUAGCGGCCAUCGAUAUAAUGUUGUUUGAAUCUAUAUCCAUCAGGUUAGAGAUUUUUUCUUGUGUGUGAAGUAUCCGUUGCCUUUUAUUUCCUUCCAAUAAGCUAAGAAACUCAAAAGCUUAAGAAGAUGGCGAAAUCACCGCCAACAUGCGAAAAUUUACAAACGAACACGACAACUAAAAGGAAAACCCUAAUUGCUGCUACACGAGUAAAAAGUUAUAAAUUUCUAAUAUCAAGAUUCUCAGUAUAAGAAAUCUUAGCUUUUUUCAGUUUCUUUGAAAUCCCUCAUCAAUUUUGAUUAAACAAAUUUCAUUCAAGCAUUGCUACUGGUUGAAUCUUGUCCAACCUUUAUAGCAUAUCAGUAUGAGAGCACCCAUCUGCAUAUUAGAAAGAUAAAAAAAUAUAUAUUAUUCUUUUAUCAAAUAUAUAUUAUUCUUUUAUCCAACUAUGCCCUCUAUUUGCUCAAUUUUUAAUAUAAUUUUUUUAAUAAUUUUUAAAUUUUAAAAGAAUUUAAUUAAUUUUUUAACUUGUUACUAAGGCUUUUUUGACCUUUUAGUCUUAUUAAUUUCAAAAUUUCUAAUUUACUACACUUUUGUUCGAAAAAUUAAUAAAUAAAAGUAUACAAGUGUAAAACACCCAAAACUAAUAUACUAAACUUAGGGGACUAGAUCCAACACUCACACCCAACUUGGUCGUCAGGUCUGACCAUAAGACACCACAUUCGUUGCUUGAGCAACAUCAAUUACAAUCAUUCAAUUCAAUACAAUACAAUUAAGAUGUUAAAAUGCGGUUUAGAUUUCAACAACAUUAAAGUGAGCUUUGAAUUUUUUUAAAGGCCUUUACAAAACAUAUUCAAGUUCUAAUUGUGCUUAUGAAAGCUGCCGAAGACCCUUGGUGGCAUAUAGGAAGUCAAACGAGUAAAAAUUUGAAGUAAUUUGAAAAGGAACAAAAAAAAUAAAGGUCAAUGUCGCAACCACAACAAGUGUAUGUCACGACACUGACCUUACUGUUGAUCCGUGUUGCGACCACAAUAAGUGCUCGUUGUGACAUUGACCUUAUUGUUGGUCUAUGUUAUGACCACAACAAGUGCUUGUUGCAACAUUGACCCCAUUGAGUCAAAUGUUGGAAAAUUACUUUCAUGAGAACUUUGAGGCAUAUUCUCAAUAGGUAAAGGUGGAAAGUUGACCUUUACAAUGGUAUAUCAUAUGCUCAAAAUGGUUGAGUGAUGAAUGAGAAAUUGAUGCUCAAAGUAAGACUUGGAAAUAUUGUCGAGGAAAAGUAAAGGCUUAGAUCCCACAUUGGUUAAAUACCAAAGUGUAAUAUGUGUUUAUAUAUGUGAACCCUCUUAAAGGGUAAUUGAAUGACUAAGCUUGUAACCCUGCCUCACGCAUAGAGGGGGUGCAGGUGCAAACCCAAUCGGGUUGGGGCGCACCUGCACGAUGUGGGCGACGCGAAAUUUCUGGAUCGGUUGGGCCCAAAUGGGCCUGUGGAUAUUUUACGACUUUAUUUUCCUCAGCAGACAUAAUCUACUUAUAUAAGGAUACUUAUCUUAUUGAUUUGAUUCCAAUAAAUUUGAUUAAAUUUUUUUAAUAAAAUUGAUUUAUGGCAGAUUUUGUGCAUAUUUUUUUCCAAAAUUUCAACAUUCUCCAUGCCUAUAAAAGGCCAUGAUUUAUGAAGGGUUAUACACACAAAAAUACUCUUUGAUAUUUUUCUCUUACUGAAACUUUGUUGCUCUCAAAACUCUUCCUUUCCUCUUCGUACUUUCAAACAUUCCGGUGAUAGAAGAAGGCUUUGUUCAUUUGUUAAUCAUUGUAGAGGUGUUGCUACUUAGAUCACUGUUGUUGUUGUAUCAUGGCAGACAUUCAACCAACAUUACUUCAAGUACCAUAGGAGCGGCCGAAUCUGUCUUAAGAAAACUAUGUUUCAUAGGCCUCAACGUUUCGUAAAAUCCCUAUUCUUUCUUCUUUAUUUCAACUUUGUAUUAUGGUUUUGUUUGAUUUUUAUAUUUCACAAUUUAAUUAUAAAUUGUUCCAUUUAAAUUUUAUUUAUAUAAAUAUUUCUUUAUUUAUAUUUACCUAUUUUGUUUUGCUAACGUGUGUAUUGUCCAACAUCAAAUUUCAAACUAUAAUUGCCCAAAGUGACCCCAAAACAUUAGCAUUCCAUUUCUAAACAUCAUGGGACAUUAAGAACAUGUUCUAAACAUCAUUCAAGCAUAUUUAAACACAUCCAAACACUUAACUAUUAACAUGAUCACAACAUUAUCGGUUUCAAAUAUCCAGUCGACUAACAUGACAUGUAAGCAACACUUGGUUAAUGAUGUACACAUACAAUUCAGGUCAUGCAUUCAAUCAUAUAUAUAACUAAGUCCUUACAGAUCUUUAUACUUAUAUGAUCAUGCUUAGAUUAAACUUCAUAACCUUAUAAAUACCAAAACAUCAAAAGGGUCUCUAAAGCUAAGUUUUGAUACUAGGUACAUGGAAACUUAAACCAAACAUACAAAAGACUAGACAAACUUGGUUGAGUUGAGAAGUGAGUCUUAGAUGCUGCUGAACUUCUCAAAUUCUCGUGACCUAAAUGUUACCUGUGCACGAAAAAUAAUUUUUAGCCAAUUUAUGCCAUAUACUUAUACUAGCAUGUCCUAGUUUUUUAUGUCAACCAAGAAUUAUUUUUAUUUUUAGCCAUAAAACAAAUGUUUGAAUAAUGUAAAUCAUCUAAAUGUACCAUAUAGAUGUUUCCUAUUCUAUGACCAACAAGCACGAUCUUAUUAGAAAUAACGUCAAUAAUUUUACAUCUAUUUCAAUCAAAUAUGACAUUCAUACUUUUAUCACACAUUUGGCUUAUACUUAAAAGAUUAUGCUUAAGAUCGUUGCCUUAUAAAACAUUCUCAAUAAAAAUUGAAGAAUUUUUACCAAUAUAGUCAAUUCUUUCAAUGAGCCCUUUGGAGUUGUCACUAAAUGUAUCUUCUCCUCCACUUUUUGGUUUUAGUUCAAUGAAAUGACUAUUGUUACUGACCAUAUGUAUUGAGCACCAAAUAUCAAGGUACCAUGAGUUUCUACUUGAAUUGGUCACCUUGAAGCAAUGAUCUUUCCCUUACAAACAUAGAUUUAAGUUUUGAUUUUUUGGUACCCAAAUUCUUUUGGGUCCAUAAGCAUUAGUUUUUAGGUUCUAGUCCCUUUAGGUAUCCACUUAGAAAGGAUAUCCUUGUCUUAGGUAGUGCUAAGUCCUUUAUGGACCCAUGCACUCUUAACAAGUUUUCCAUUAUAAGUUCCUGAGGGACUUCUAUGUCUAUAGUGAUUAAAGCUUGAUUUAAUAAAGUUUGUUUAUGAAUUUCCUCCUUUUUCAAAUCUUUUUGGAGAAACUUUGUUAGAUAAAGUUUUUUCUUUCUUAAGCAAAUCAAGUUGCUUUUGAUGAUCUUAAUGAAAUUUUAAAAGUAAUUUAUGCAAGUUCGAAUUCUUUUUCUCAAAAUCAUCAAUAAUUGUUUGCAAUCUGUUUAUUUUCUCCUUAAGUUCAUGAUUGAUUUUGGAAAGUAAGUCAUUUUCAACUUUCAAUUUUGAAUUUUUUUUGUGUUUUGAAACCAUGACUUUGAAUUCCAAACCUAUCUCAUCAUAGGCAUCUUGUAACUCAUCAAAUGAAUAAGGAAUUAAACUAGAUGAGUUAGAAGUUACCUUAGAGUCUUCAAUGGUCAUAAGGAAAAUGUUGGCUACUUAUUGUUCUUUAUCAUCAGAAGAAUCCUCAUCGCUCCAAGUAGCAACAUUGGCAUUAUGUUUUUAUUUGUUUUACCCAUUUUUCUUCCAUUGGGGACAACCUUGAUAUGUCCCGACUUUUUGCUUUCAUAAAAUAUUAUGGGAUCUUUCUCCUUGUUGGAUUCAAGCUUCAAUCAUUCUUUUCUUUGAAAUCUUCUUCCAUUGAUCGACUUCAUGAAUCUCUGAGCAAACAUGGUCAUUUCUUUAUCUUCAUCCACUUCGUCACUUGAUUUGCUUUCUUCAUUUGUAGUGGAUUGGAUAGCAACAUAAAUCUUAUUCUUUUAAACUUUUUCUUCUUAUAACCCUUCUUUAAGCCUCAUUUCAUAUGUAAGCAAAUAACAAGUAAGUUCAUCUAACGCAAGUGUCUCUAAAUUCUUUGCUUUUUUAAUGGUGGUCACUUUAGCUUCCUAAGACUUUGGCAAGCUUCUAAGCAUCUUUAUCACAACCUCUUCAUUAGGAUAUGUCUUCCCAUAUGACUUGAGACUAUUUAUGAUAAUUUUGAAUUGAUCAAACAUCACUUUGAUAUACUCCUUAGGCUUCAUCUUAAAGGUUUCAUAGUUGAAUGUGAGAAUUCCCAACUUUGGACUUUUUUACUUGACUUGAUCUAUCAUGAGUGACCUCUAACUUGUCUCAUGUAUUCUUGGAAUUAGAACAAGAAGACACCUUACUCUAUUCAUCCAGACCAAGUGCACAAAAUAGGGUGUACAUGGCAUUGACAUUAAGUUGAAUAUUCCUUCUAUCUUCUUCAUUCCACUCUUUCUUGCUCUUUGGAAUCAAUAACUAUCCUUCUUACUUUUGAGGAAUGGAGGGACCAUCCAUGAUGGUAUCUCAAGCUGCAAGAUCAUUGGCUUGAAUAAAGAGUAUCAUCUUUGUCUUCCAAUAAGAGUAGCUUGUUCCAUUGAAGUAUGAAAGCUUUGAGAUAGACUGAGAUUCUCCAAAAAAAAUUGACCUAGAAGUGGAUGUCAUUCUUUGAGGAAUAUAUUGAUGUCAGCUUGAUCUCUCCAUGAUUCUUCUCUUGGUUGUUAAAUCGUCUUUAAAGACUAGCUCUAUUACCAAUUGUUAGCUUAAUCAAUCAACUGUAAUAGCAAAUAGGGGGUUAAUUGGCCUUUAAAAUUGUGGUAGAAAAGAUAAGAAAAUGAAACAAUAAACAUAAAGAAAGAGUGGUUCAACCCCAAUUGCCUACUCCACUACCAUAUCUUUCCACCACUAAAGAUUUUCCCAAAUUCACUAAUUUGAUCAAACUUUGAAGACAAUGUUUAACCUUAUAACUCCCUUAAGAUUUCUACCUAAAUCUUAAGACUUAAACCCUCUCAAAUGAGUAAACAAAUGAGCAAACAAAGAAACAAUCCUUACAAGAUUAGAAUAUUUACCAAUUAAGCACAUACGAUAAAAACACUUAAGCUAAUGGAAUACAAUGAAUGCUCACAAGUGUUUGCAAGAAAAAGAUGGAGAAUUGAAGCACAAAAAGUUGAUAAAAGAGUUGUUGAUCUUUUUUGAUAACUUUUGAUCUUUUGUAAUCUCUCUUAUUGUUGUAGAAGCUUUAGAAGCUGAUAUUUAUAGCCCCUAAUUGAUUUUCAACCAUUCUGAUUGUUGAAGAAUUGAAUAGAACCAUUAGAAGUCUAAAAACCAAAGCAUUACGGCACGUUUGGUUUGCUGUAAUAGAAUAGAGGCGUAAUGGAAUAGAGACGUAAUGGUAUAGAGGCGUAAUGGAAUAGAGGCGUAAUGGAAUAGAGGCGUAAUAGCAAUUCAAUUGUUUGGUUGAAUGUAAUGGAAUAGAGGCGUAAUAGCAUAAGGAAAAAAAACUAAAAUGACUAGAAUACACUUAACAAAAUUUUUUUAGGUAGAUGAUUUAUUGUUAUUGUUAUUAAAUUUUAAUAAGAUUAUUAAUAUAAAUAAUAAAUAAUUUAAUAUUAAUUUAAAAUAAUUAUUAUUAAAUAUAAUUUAAUAAAAAAAUAUAUAAUUUAAUAAAAUUCUUAAUAUAAUUAUUCUUAUAUUAAUUUACUAAAAUCAUAAUAUAUAAUAAUAUAAAAAAAUAUUUAAUCUCAUUUAUUAUUUUUAAACCGCAAUACAAAUUUAAUGUGCUAAAACAUCAUUAGUGAAUCAAAUAAUUUAAUUAUUCUAAAAAAAAUAGAAGUAAUAAAUAACUUGAAAAUUAUAUUUUGCGUAAAUAUAAUAUUCAAAUAUUAACAAACAUACGCUAAAUUAAAUUUCAUGUAUAAUUUUAAAAUUUACCCCAAAGAUUUAGUGUACUUCUUGACCUGAACUUGAGAAUUAAGUUUAUUUUAGUACUUGUAUAUUUUUUGUCCACUUUAAUAAUUGAACUUGACAAUUAGAUAUAUUUUAAUCUUUGAACUUGAAAUAUAUAAAAUUUUAUUGACAUAACACUUUAAUAACUGAACUUGACACUUAGAUAUAUUUUAAUCUUUGAACUUGAAAUAUAUAAAAUUUUAUUGACAUAACACUUUAAGAUUGUCUCACAGCAUUAAAUUUGGACGGAAUAUAAAUUCAUAGUCAAAAUAGACCUACUAGUAAAGUUAGAUACUAAAGUAGACCCCAACAACAUAUAAGUAUCAAAACGGAACUAGCUCACAAAGCGAAACUUCUUAUGAAAGAAGAUAAACAAAUUGUGCUACUUGAAGGGAACAACACUGGCACUGGAAAAACAUUUCGUGGUUGAGGACAUAAAAUCUCUUAAGCACUGCAUCCAGGUUAUGAGCUACUCACAGCAACACAGAUCGCUGGGAAAUAAUGUGCCAAAUUACCUUUUGUAUCUCUUCUUGGAACCACAUGGACAAGGAGCAUUACGACUCAUUUCUCCACUCUUUACCAUAUUAAAUUUGGCAAGAUCCAAUGGUGUUGAACCCAUUCUUUUGCACCUGCAAAAGAUAAAAAAAUAAAACGAAUGACAUUUCCAAUGGAGAAAGAGAGAGAUGCAUAAACUAAUACUUGUCAUUGAUGUUUUAAACUGUGGGAGAAACAUUCAUCCGAACUCAAAUGCGAAUUUCAGCAACUGAAGAUGAACGAAGGCAGACAUCUCAGUCUUUUAAGCAAUCUGGCAUUGAACCAAAAAAGCAUAACGCAGAUCAGCAGACCAAACAUCUGUAACUCUAUGUUAGUUAGACUCUUUCUUUUCCUUUAUGCAUCCAUGUUUGAUGCAAGCCUGGGACCAUAAUGAAUAUAGGGAGAUAAUCCUCUAAAAAUCCUUCAAAUACAUUAAAAAAAUUGGACAAAAAAUGAACAUAACACACCCAUGUCAAAUAUAUAUAUCAGACACUCAAACUAUAGUCUGAACAUCAAGAUAUACAAUCAUCAUUUUGACUCAGAUAAUAUGCAUAACUAACUCCCCUACCUUCUUAUACAAAUAUCUUACUUAUCUUUCAAAUAGCUCAUCCUACAUUCAACAUCAUAUUCACCGAGCAGCAGCCAAAAGACAAAAAUACAUUAACUUAGAGAAUUUAAUAUCAGAAAAAUUGAGCAAUAAGCAUAAAUACACUAGCUCAUACAUUUUAAUCAUUCAACAUAUGAUUAGCAAAAACAUAACUGAAAAAAACCAGUGGUAAACUAGAGGUGCUCAUGGGACGGGUGGCCCGGCCCGGCCCGACGGCCCGCUCGAAAUAUGGGAGGGUUUGGGUAAAAAUAUAGGCCUGAAAUAUGGGCUUAGGCAAAAAUGAGGCCCGUUUAGAAAACGGGUCAGGCCUCGGGUACCACUUUUUUGGCCCGGGCCCGACCCGGCCUGGCCCGAUAUAAUAAACAUAUUUAUUUUUUAAUUUUAAAAUACUUUUUAAAAUACUUUUUAAAAUUUUUUUAAUUUUAAAAAUAAAUUUUUUGUAUUUAUUAAAAAAAAUGGGCCGGGCCGGGCUCAGGCUUAUGAUUUUUUUCUCGGGCUGGGCCUAGACAAAAUUUUAGGCCCAUAUUUCAGGCCAGGCCGGGCCCGACCCAUGAGCACCUCUAUGGUGAACCUACCUCAGCAAAGUUCUUUGGCAUCGGUUUGCCUUCCUCUUUCAGCUUAACCAUCUUCUUAUGAACUUCUUUAGCCCAUGUGAACUUCGUAAGCGCAUUCUCAACGUCUAAGAAGGUACAUCUAAUAAGUUAGAUGUUAUCCCUUUCUCACUCUUAAAGGUACAUCUAGUGAAAAGAAAAGUUCAAAACAAAUUAAAUUAAAGAGAGCUUCAACCAAACUGCUUCUUUUAAUGCUUAACACCUUAACAAAAAGUGUGCCUAGGCACACCAAGCAAGCGCCUAAUCAAAUGCACCUUGUCCAAAAAUAUCCAAAGCACUUAAUCAACUUUGUCCUAUCUACUGUUAGGUAAAGGUAGCCUUCAAGAAGGUAACAUAGGUUAAUUCUUGUUUAAGUUUUAUUGAUUGUUGUAAAUGUUGUAUAAACGUGCAAACAAUUUACCUAUAAACUUAGUAUAGGUAGCCUUCAAGAAGGUAACACAGCAACACUAGCAUUGAAAUUUAAUUCAAGCAAUGAAAUAACAGCUGUAAAGAAAAGCACUCCUACAGACGCCAGUGAAACCAUAGUACAAGUAAAGUAUAAAGAAUUCCAAGUUCACUGUUCAAAAAUGAAGAAAAAGGGUAUCAAUGUUUAUACCUUUACAGCUCGCCAAUGAUCUAAACAUUCACGAUGUACAUAUUUUGAUGUUCCUUUGCACUUGCAAGGAGCAAUAAAAUCUCUACCUGAGGAAAACAAUUGCACAUUGAACUAGUUAUUAGCACAAGUUCCUUCAAACAACACCCUUAGCAACAAAAAUUAAGUUUAACAACACCCUUAGCAACAAAAAUUAAGUUUUCUUUUUUUCAUAAUUAUUAAACAUUAUUGUGUAGGAUGACCAAAAAAAUUUACUGCGAAGGAAUUAUUUAAAAUAAAAAAAAGGGAAUUGAAAAUAAUUAAAUUGCUAUUUUUAUCUUCUCUAAUUUUGUUUAAUAAUCCAAUCAGUUUGGUCGCCAAACGAAAAAAUUAAACCCGUUAUACUAGAGUGAUGUACAUGGUUGGAUUUUGAAGGAAAAAACAGAACAGAUUUUUUUCGAGAGGAAGGCUUAAAAUAUGCAAAGUGAUCGUGAUUCAUAGCACAAUCGAUGAAACUAAUUUUUUAAAAUUUCUUUUAAAAAAGGAAGUUAAAUUUGAGGAAAUAGGGUUUAAAAGUAGAACAUACCGUCGGUUUCGAGGCAAAUUCGACACUGAAUUUGAUCGGCUAGACUGGCCUCGAGGUCGAUCUCGUUAGGGUCGGUGUCGGUGGGGGAGCCAUGAGAGGCAAUUCCUCCGAUUGAUCGCUCAUUGUCGAUUAACAAAUAAACAGAGGAAAUAGCCAUUUUCGAUAAUAAUAAUUAAUUUAUAGAGAGAAAAAUGAGCAAUCUUGAAUUUCUCUUCUCUGAUUCUUGAAGCUGAUAUUGAUGUCUUUUUUAUGGUUCUUUCAGCGGAAUUUCAACAUCAGUAAUGAAGGAAAAAAGGGAAAUAAGAUAAAGGGAAAUAAGAAGGAAAAAAGGGAAACACAGAUAUGGAAAGGAAAGAAGAAGAUGAAGCUGAGGGAAAAAAAUGAAAAGGGAAAAAAAAUACUC
Molecule: long non-coding RNA, 26449 nt
Filed under: Gossypium barbadense (sea-island cotton)
Lineage: Eukaryota; Viridiplantae; Streptophyta; Magnoliopsida; Malvales; Malvaceae
Description: long non-coding RNA (GBAR_LNC017071)
Source: RNAcentral